Molecule: transfer RNA, 74 nt
Filed under: Loxodonta africana (African savanna elephant)
Lineage: Eukaryota; Metazoa; Chordata; Mammalia; Proboscidea; Elephantidae
Rfam family: tRNA
About the family: Transfer RNA (tRNA) molecules are approximately 80 nucleotides in length.
Source: Rfam by way of RNAcentral
GCAUUCGUGGUAGAAUUGGUAGUAGAAUUCUUGCCUUCCAUGCAGGAGACCUGAGUUCAAGCCCAGCCAAUGCA